This 563-nucleotide ribosomal RNA is filed under the name Hansenula anomala. Its description in RNAcentral is "eukaryotic LSU rRNA". It matches the Rfam family "Eukaryotic large subunit ribosomal RNA", at positions 92 to 669 of the family's 3401-position model. The record is from RNAcentral. Lineage: Eukaryota; Fungi; Ascomycota; Saccharomycetes; Phaffomycetales; Wickerhamomycetaceae.
AGUGAGCGGCAAAAGCUCAAAUUUGAAAUCUAGCACCUUCGGUGUUCGAGCUGUAAUUUGAAGAUGGUAACCUUGGGUUUGGCUCUUGUCUAUGUUCCUUGGAACAGGACGUCAUAGAGGGUGAGAAUCCCGUCUGAUGAGAUGCCCAUUCCUAUGUAAGGUGCUAUCGAAGAGUCGAGUUGUUUGGGAAUGCAGCUCUAAGUGGGUGGUAAAUUCCAUCUAAAGCUAAAUAUUGGCGAGAGACCGAUAGCGAACAAGUACAGUGAUGGAAAGAUGAAAAGAACUUUGAAAAGAGAGUGAAAAAGUACGUGAAAUUGUUGAAAGGGAAGGGCAUUAGAUCAGACUUGGUGUUUUACGAUUAUCUUCUCUUCUUGAGUUGUGCACUCGUAUUUCACUGGGCCAGCAUCGAUUCGUAUGGCAAGAUAAUGGCAGUUGAAUGUGGCUUCACUUCGGUGGAGUGUUAUAGCUUCUGCUGAUAUUGCCUGUCUGGAUCGAGGGCUGCGUCUUUUGACUAGGAUGCUGGCGUAAUGAUCUAAUGCCGCCCGUCUUGAAACACGGACCAA